AUAACAGUAUAAAAUAUCAGGUUGACAUACCUAGUAUGUCCUUUGAUUAAUUUUAAUCCCUCGGCUAAUUAAUGCUAUUUUUUGGCCUGCUAUCGCCUGUGUCAAUGAUUCUGUUAUUAUCAUUUUUAAAAUUGUUACAUUGGAUA
Octopus sinensis (East Asian common octopus) is the source of this 146-nucleotide long non-coding RNA. RefSeq lists it as uncharacterized. Lineage: Eukaryota; Metazoa; Mollusca; Cephalopoda; Octopoda; Octopodidae. The transcript is spliced from 3 exons. The record is from RefSeq and is a predicted model, not a curated record.